CCUACGGGUGGCAGCAGUGAGGAAUAUUGGUCAAUGGACGCAAGUCUGAACCAGCCAAGCCGCGUGCAGGAAGACGGCUCUAUGAGUUGUAAACUGCUUUUGUACGAGGGUAAAUCCCGAUACGUGUAUCGGUUUGAAAGUAUUGUACGAAUAAGGAUCGGCUAACUCCGUGCCAGCAGCCGCGGUAAUACGGAGGAUUCAAGCGUUAUCCGGAUUUAUUGGGUUUAAAGGGUGCGUAGGCGGUUUGAUAAGUUAGAGGUGAAAGCCCGGGGCUCAACCCCGGCACUGCAUUUGAUACUGGCGGGCUAGAGUUUAGUUGCGGUAGGCGGAAUGUAUGGUGUAGCGGUGAAAUGCAUAGAGAUCACACAGAACACCGAUUGCGAAGGCAGCUUACCAAACUACGACUGACGUUGAGGCACGAAAGCGUGGGGAGCAAACAGGAUUAGAUACCCGAGUAGUC
Molecule: ribosomal RNA, 460 nt
Filed under: uncultured bacterium
Lineage: Bacteria
Description: partial 16S ribosomal RNA
Rfam family: Bacterial small subunit ribosomal RNA
Source: RNAcentral